Odocoileus virginianus texanus is the source of this 1611-nucleotide non-coding RNA. NCBI's taxonomy places the organism in Eukaryota, Metazoa, Chordata, Mammalia, Artiodactyla, Cervidae. The record is from RefSeq and is a predicted model, not a curated record.
ACGUGCUAAAGGGUGAAAAUGUCUGGGUCUCAAAAGCCACAAAAUAUAGCAACAUGGCCCCUCGGUCGUUGGACUAAACAUUUCACUGAUACAGAUUCUCUUCCCUAGACUACUUCACUGUAACCCAGCUUGGAAGGAGGGGGGAAGUAAGUUUUAAGACCCAGAACUGCUCCUCUAGACUCCCCUCAAACGACCUAACACAUCCUCUUGUCAUUCCUAUCAAAGCCAUGCUGGCAGGUUAGGUCUCGGAGGACAAGAGGUAAGCAGCAGGAGACAGCAUUCCAGAUCAAAGACAUGAGAGCGGAGAAGAGAGGAUCACAAGGCGGUUCUCUGCCAAGGCAAACAGAGACAGGCAGAGGGAGGAGACAGAAUGACAUUUCCUUCCGAGAGCCUCUGAUGGAAAAUCACAGAGAGUCCAUCCGCCCGUGUCUGGAGCUGAGACGCAGCUGGAGAGUCUUCUCUUAAUGACACCUUGAUGCUCCUGAAGAUCUCACUUCAACCGAUUGCCCGCUCUGCUUCUGUUGUCAGCUUGCAUGCCAGCACACUCUCACCACCAGGUCGGAGGGGUUUCCAAGCCAAUGAUAAAAUUCCCAGAUUGCUGUGAUGAAGUUUCAUUCAUUCUAACUUCCUUUAAGAACGAGGACAGGGCUUCCCUGGGGGCACAGUGGACACCUGCCGAUGCAGGGGACACGGGUUCGAUCCCAGGUCCAGGAGGAUCCCACAGGCCCUGGAGCAAGCAAGCCUGCAAGCCCUAACUAUGGAGCCUGUGCGCCUAGAGGCAGUGCUCUGCAAGAACACCGGCCCCCACAGUGAGAAGCCACAGCUAGAACAUAGCCCCUUCUGGCCUCAAAUACAGAAAGCCCGCAACAGCAACAAAGACCCAACGCAACCAAAAAUUAAAACAAAAAAGAACAAGAACAGAUUUCGCACACUGAUUGACAUCAGGAAAUCAUUUUGUUGGUGGUUUAUAAAUGCUUUUGAUGAAUAUAGGUGGGAUUACAUAUGAUGCCUCCACCAAAAUAAAUGUUAGUCGAGUCAUGACUCCAUUCAGGAUUAUCAAAGAGCAAAAGAGAAGUUAUUAGGAGAAACCUACUUAGUAAAUAAUAGAGAUCAAAUUCCACUGUCAAAGAGGAACUUUUAAAUAGUUAAAACAUGAUUCAUACAAAUAUAGAAUGACUACGUUAACUUGUGUUCAACUAAUUGAUGGAAGAGCCAAUGGAAUGGUAAAGUUGGUUCCCAGGGCAUUUGAGGACCUAUGUAUUUGUAGAAAUUUGUAAAAGAGAUGGCCUGAACAAAAUUUCCAGGUUAAAUACAAAUCUGGUUAACAUCCUCCUAGAUAAUUUUUGGAGUUACCUUUCUACCAGACGUAAAUCUAUAAAUCAACAUAUAGCCCCAUGGAGUCUAGGCCUUGUUGUAAACUGUGCAUCAAACAAAAGGUACUUUUCCUUGGCUAAUUAUAUAAUCCUUGGAGGCCUUUUUAAACAUUUCCCCAGUGUAACAUUGAUGGGACAUGCUGUUCUAUUUUCCCCUUAAUUCCAAGUUUGUGCCUAUUUUCCUUGCCACCUCUGAAGUUGUGCUUAAAACAAAUAAAAAUGAGAUUCUAAUACUAUA